Molecule: long non-coding RNA, 4404 nt
Organism: Anolis carolinensis (green anole)
Lineage: Eukaryota; Metazoa; Chordata; Lepidosauria; Squamata; Anolidae
Exons: 2
Source: RefSeq, a predicted model, not a curated record
GGAGAGGGUUCUCCCCAAGUCCCCUCUCUGCCCUUUCCUCCCCUUUCUGUUCUCUUUAGGAGGCAGAAAAUGAAGAGAAAACGGGAAACGCCUGGAUCUCAAAGAGGUUGGCCUUGGUCAGGAUCAGAUGGUGGACAGGAAAGAAAAGGUGUAUGCAUUAGACCCUGUAUUGCCUACUCCUGAUAUAGAAUCCUAGAGCUGGAAAAGACCCCCAAGGGCCAUCCAGUCCAACCCCCUGCCAUGCAGGAAGGCACAAUCAAAGCAGUCCUGAUAGACAGCCUCUGCGGAAAAGCUUCCAGAGAAGGAGACCCCACCACACUCCCAGGCAGCCUGUACCGCUCUCCAGGAAGUUCUUCCUCAUCUUUUCAACCUAUUGCUCCCAUGUGUCCUUGUCUCUAGAGCAGCAGAAAAGCCGUUUUCCCCUUCAUGUUCCAUCUCUAGCUUCUCUUCUCCCAGCUAAACAUUCCCCAGGAGGAAAGGAGGAAGGAAAAAGAGAAAGAAGGAAAGAAGGAAGGAAGGGGAUGGAGGGAGGGAUGGAGGAAAGAGAGAAGGAAGGAAAGACAAAAGGGAAAGAAGGGAGGAAGAAAGGAAGGGAAAAGAGAAGGAAGGAGGGAGGAAAGAGGGAAGAAAGGAUGAAAGGUGGAAGGAAAGGAGGUAGGGAGGGAAGGAGUAAGGAACAAGAGAAGGAAGGAUAGAAUAGUGUGAGAGAGGAGGGCCUGAGAAAAGAGCCCGAGGGGCCGCAUCUGGCCCAUACCUGCAGUAGGGGAAUCUGAGACUGACUUCACAGGAUGGAAGUUGUAGUUCAUCCUGCAUCUGUGAUCCCCACUGACAAUAGACCGGAAUCAAACUUGGCACAAAGAAGCCUCAUGACCACCAGAACAUACUGCAUGGGUUUCUGGGAAGUGACCUUGAUUUUGGGAGCUGUAGCUCACCCUCAUCCAGAGAGCACUGAACCUAGGCAAUGUCGAAUCUGGACCAAGCUUGCCAAACAAACCCAACAUGGCCAACUGUUCCUACAGGCCUGGUUUGGUGAGGAUUGACCCAUGAUUCUGGGAAUUGUAGUUCACCCACAUUAUUAAGUAUUUUCUACUGGAAGCAUUCAUAACCAAUGAUAUCCAAGACUGGCUUUUUUCUAAUAAAUACUGUCAUUUGACUAAAUGAUAUUACCUAACACCCCAAAACAAAUAAUAAUAAUAAUAAUAAUAAUAAUAAUAAUAAUAAUAAUUUUAUUUUUAUAUCCCGCCUCCAUUUCCCCACAGGGAGAUUUGCGUACAUGUAUAUAAUGAGAUACCAGUAUCUUGGAGAUGAAACCCAAGUCAAAAUUUGGAAUUCGUUGAUGUUUCAUAUACACAUGGAUUGAUGGAGGAAGAGAAGAAAGAAGAGAAGUACGUCUCCCCCAUAAGCAAUAUAAUGCAGUAUGCCAGGAGCAACUAGCUUAGGGAAUGUAGUCUCAAGGGACAGGUUUUAAACCAACAUUAGAAGGAACUAUCCAAGGUGCUAGAUGUAGUUCAUGAAUGGAAUUCAGCAGAUUCAAUAGAGCCUCCGAUGGCACAGUGAAUUGUGCCGGUAGGACUGAUGACUUGAAAGUUGGGUUGCUGACCUGAAGAUUGCCGGUUUGAAUCCAACCCAGGGAGAGCGGAGAGAGGGAUGAGCUCCCUCUAUCAACUCCAGCUCCAUGCAGGGAUAUGAGAGAAGCUUCCCACAAGGAUGGUAAAAACAUCAAAAACAUCUGGGCAUUCCCUGGGCAACGUUCUUGCAGACAGCCAAUUCUUUCACACCAGAAAUGACUUGCAGUUUCUCAAGUUGCUCCUGACAUGAAAAAAGUAGCUCCAAUGGCCCCCUAUGGAGCAUAAACCAAAUUCUGGUGCAGAUAUAUUGCUAUGUUGACACAAAAGCCACCAGCUGCGAUUUACUGUGCUUUCUCCAUGAGCUACUGGCAACCUCAGUAGCCAUUAGAUAAAAUAUAUUUCUUAGAUCUAUUUGUCCAGACAAAUUACAAGUUGCUGUGAAAGAAGAAAUAUUCAUCUCUUCAUUUCACCUUGCACUACCACUGGAGAAAAAAAGAGGAGAGAGAAAUCAUCUAGACGAUCUUGCAUGAGUUAGCAAGUGGAUUCCAACUGGUUGGGAAGAAGGAAAGAAAGAAGAAUAGUUUUGUUGUUGUUUUUUUUUUCUUUUCACUCCAAUUAAACAUUACAGGCAAACAUACAUACAUUUACAACAUGUAUUAUGAGUCAAGAUAAACCAAUGAGAUUUUUUUUACAUCAACUAAUGAUUUUCUAUCAAUUAAAAAUAAUGGAUUGACCCUCCAGAAGUUGUGUUUGAAGCUUUUCCCAGUGCAAAAUCAGUUGUUAUUUUUGAAUAAUUUGUUUCUUAUUGCUGAAACUGGUAUACCAAGUGAAAUGUCAACAUACACAUACCUGAGACUACUAGAUAUCUCUUGGCUAUUGCAUUCUGGACUUAUAGGAAAGUUCUGCCUAGAUCUCUUGGGAAACGGAAACGUAAUUCUUAUCCCCUUUGGCAGAAGGCUUCAUGGAAGGUCACAUGUGUGUAGUUUUUCUUGUCCAGCGAAGAUUAAUAGCAUCUGUACUGGGGUGACUUUCACACUAACAUGUAGUUAAUUCCCUUGCUGUUAUAAAUAAUAUAAAGGUGGGCUUUAUUUGUAAAGCAUUCUUAAUGUAGGAGGUACAAUGCAGGCCAAUACAUCAAUUUUAUUUCCAGCCAAAUUACAGAGACUCAUGAUCUCAGUUUGAAUCUUUGCCACCCAACUUACCCCAUUCAGUCAUCUGGUGAUUAGUGCUAUUGUGCAGUUCUCUAAUUCAUUUAUUGUUGUUGCUUUACGUUGUGGAGAUCCUAGUAUGCCUAAAAGAAGUACCUUCUAAUCAGGAAAAAAACCUCUUUUUUUCAGUGAUGGGUGCUGAUUAUGCCAAUGAUGCAAAAGGAUGAACACUCAACAUUGUCUUUCUGCCUUUCAUCAAAAAGAUGUUCUUUCCCAGAGAGCUUUGGGGGUGCGCUGACUGCUUAAUUAAGAACUCAAUGGUGCUUCCACUUAUUUUGUUUGUUUAGUUUGUUUUCUACUGCUUUCAUUAGUUUGAUGCUGUGAGUUUAUGCAAUAGUUCUAAUUUGUAAAGCUUUCAAUAUACUAUGUAAACAAGGCUGGCUAUUUUAAAUCAAAAGGCGUUUUAACAAAUGAAUACAUACAAUUCGAGACAAUCUCCAUGGUUGGCAAGACCCAGCAUGGUAUAGUUGUUUGAAUAACUGCACUAAGGUUCCAUGUGACAGAGGAUGAAUGAAUCCCCACUCAGCUGUGGAAACCAUUGGAUAAGUUGCAUGUUCUCAACCUUGGAGGAAGGCAAUGGCAAGCCUUCUCUGAAUAAAUCUUGCUAUGGGAACCCUCUGAUAGUGUCACCAUAAGUUGUAUUCAUCUUGAAGGCAUAUAAAAAUCACAUCUGUUUGAAACUGAAACUGGUUUGUGGAAGGAGAAAAAUAGAGUUCACUAGACGUGAGUUCUAAAUAUUGAUUCCAUGAUCAAGUUUUCCAGUGUGUUUCCCAUUCCUUUCCCUUUGCCAGUGUCAGGACCAUGGGGCUGGAUGAGGAGGGUUUCCUCCGAGCACCAGAAUCUGAGCCUCAAGAAGAGGAACAGCCUGAUGCUACUAAGUCUGAGCAGAAACAGACCUUUCCAGGAAUGUAAGCACCGGAGCCAAAUCAGAAGGAGGAGGAAGAAUAAGCAUUGGCUCGCCCCCUGCCCAGCUCCAGCUCAGGAACAAUGUCAUCCAGUUGUGACUGUCUAAUCGAUUGGCUGCAAGAAGAAAAUAGCAGCUGCAAAGGUUUGUCAGGAGCUGCAUAAAAGGCUGGUGUUUGGAACAGUUGACUGUUGGAGACAAUCAUUGUUUGGUGUUGCAGCUGUGAAUCUUUCAUGCCCUUGGACUAGGUUUGUACAUCAGACCUGGGCUUUGAACCUUGGACUACUCCUUAGAUAUUGGCCCUGGACUUGCAGUAAAUAUAGGUAUAUUGGAAUGGACAUUGGAAUUGGCUUGCUUGCUUCUAUUUACUGAAAUGUCUUCAGUGUUAAAUCCUGGACUGUCCCUGACUACUCUUACUGACAGCCAGGCUCCUGUGCCUCUUGCAUGCCAUGGAAGUAUUCAGCAGGUACAUUAAUGGAAAUUUGGAUCGCUAGUCUUUUUAUUGUAGUCCUAUUGGUGUAUAUCAGGUAUGAGGAAUGUGGGUCACUACAGAUGUUGCCAGAAUCCAAUUUCCAUCAUCUCAACUCACUAUACUAGCUAGGGGAAAUGGGAUUUGCAAUUAGAAAUACUAGGAUGAUAACAUGUUCUUCAUACCAGACAUGUGGUAGAUAUAUAUUACUAAGACAGAAAGUAAAAUAAAGAACAGUAUUUUUGUUGUUGUUAA